This 76-nucleotide transfer RNA is filed under the name Candidatus Nealsoniibacteriota bacterium. RNAcentral's name for it is "Candidatus Nealsonbacteria bacterium tRNA-Ala". It matches the Rfam family "tRNA". From Rfam's summary of the family: Transfer RNA (tRNA) molecules are approximately 80 nucleotides in length. Their secondary structure includes four short double-helical elements and three loops (D, anti-codon, and T loops). The record is from RNAcentral. Lineage: Bacteria; Candidatus Nealsoniibacteriota.
GGGCCGUUAGCUCAGUUGGUAGAGUACCUGUUUUGCAUACAGGGGGUCGCCAGUUCGAAUCUGGCACGGUCCACCA